Sinocyclocheilus anshuiensis is the source of this 10455-nucleotide long non-coding RNA. Ensembl annotates it as histone-lysine N-methyltransferase ASH1L-like. NCBI's taxonomy places the organism in Eukaryota, Metazoa, Chordata, Actinopteri, Cypriniformes, Cyprinidae. The record is from Ensembl.
UCCUUUCCUCUACUCUCCUCCCUCCCGCUCUGACUGUGAGAAUGCCCGUGCUGUACUGACAGAAACGAUACGGGCUUAGCAGACAUGGAGGCCCGAUUAAUGAGAGAGGCCCAUUCCGACGCGUCUGAGCUCGACUAACGCGGACCCGGAGAGGGAUUCGGGCGUCACAUCGGAUUAUCACGGCGAUUUCAAGAUAAACAUCCGAGCGACCAUGCUGUUGCGUAGGAAGGGAGGAUUUUGAUCGCAAAUUAUGUGAACGCCGUUCUGGACCGCUAUUAAGUUUGAAGGUGAGAGGGCUGGGCACUUGGGAAGGGACGACAUUGCUUCAACCCAACAAGGAUAUUUUUACAACCUCUGCUUUUCCCCCCUUCCCCUCCAUUCCACUUCUUUCUUCCUACCUGACAUCUGCACAGUUCUCCAGUACCUACCUAUACCUGCGAGUGAGAACAUCCUGUCCCACUCAAGCCCCCCUUGUUCCCCAAAUCACCAAUGGAUCAGAGGACACAGGGGGGGCCCUCUACACCGCCCCCGCUCCCUGUCAAUGUCCCUCCAGCAGAACGCGAGAACGAGGGAGUAGGAGGAAAGAAGGACGAUGAAGAGGAAAAGAAAAAACAAGAGAAACCAAGAGAUGGGGUACAAAGUGAAACUUGUGCUGCUGAAAGUGGGACAAGUGACCAGCAACAGCAGCAAUCUGCACAGUUCUCGGUCAAAGAAACCAGUUACUCUGAGGGAAAUGUCAAGCUCAAGAUAGGCCUACAGGCCAAGCGCAUGAAGAAGCCUCCUAAGAUACUGGAGAACUAUGUCUGUCGUCCAGCCUUCCGAGCCACUGUAAGGCAUAGUGGAGGACGAGGCGGAGGACGUGUUAAUCGUGGGGCUGGAGCCAGUGAUGGGAGCAACCACACUUCUAGCCCAAGUCGUGGAAAAGGAGAGAAAAGCCCCUCUGUCAGCCGAGGAGCAUCUCUAUCAUCUAGUGCUCCUGCUGCUGCAUCUCCCUCACCUUCUCUCCCUCCUCCCAUUUCCACCAGCCCAGUAACUCCUGUGAAUGGAAGUGCUCCAGCAAAAAAGGCUCCUCAAAAACUUGCCUGUAAGUCAGAGGGAAAGGCUGAUGUAAAAUCCGUUGCUUCUUCAGAGAGUCCCCUUAAUCUUCAUCGCCCCAUGACAGAAAGCAAAUCACCCUCCUCUGGAAAGAAAAACCAGCUUCCACAAACCAACUCUGCUUCUACCCCAUCGCCACCGACAAUGCCCCCAGCUACCACAUUGCAACAGGACCCCAAAACAGAUGGGAUCUUAAAAACUCAAUACAAUUUUACUGAGGGGCAGAAGGAACAAGACAGGGGAAUUUCUGCCUGGGGUACUCCUACAGUAACUGAGAAGCUUGCUCAGCUCAUAGCUACAUGUCCGCCGUCAAAGUGCCCUAAGCCAAAAGCCCGAAAGGUGUCACCAGCUCCAGCACACAGUAGCUCGCCUCCCUUAAUUUCUAAUCUGCAGCACCCUGAACGGGCUAUGGCCAAUAGGAACACCUAUUCCAGGGCGGUGCACCUUGCCCCACCACCGGUUUCACGGCCCCCAGGUCGCCCAUAUGGGUCCAAAAAUAAAGACAGUAUUCUGGAGACAUUUUCUGGCACCUCUAGAAAAGAGGAAUCAGAUGGACUUUCAAAAGGGAUCACCAGUAGCAACAGCAGCACAACCACCACCACCACUAGUACUGCACUGUCUCAAAACAGUAGUCACUUGACGACAUCCACAACUGAUAGCACUGACAACAGUACCACCAAUGGAAUGGAAUCUGAAUCUCGUCUUGGGCAUUGCCCAUCUCAUUCUUCCUCCACGGCUUCUCUUUCAUCACCACCACCAUCUUCCUCUUCUUCAUCCUUCUCCUUAGAAAGAAUAGGAAGUACAGGCUGUCACAUGUGUUUGCCAGGCUCACUAGCCUCACGGCCUAGAGCAAGCCCCUCCCGGAUAGAGGAGUUUACUGAGAAAGACAAAGAGCGUGGCCGAGACAAAGACACAGACAGUCCCAGAGAUUUAAGUAAGGGCUCUACUUCAGCUAUGCCAGGGAAGCAAGAUACUAAAGAAAGGUGUUCUUUGUCAACUCCUCGAAGUGAGAGGGGUAAGAGCUCAAGUCCAGUCAAACGUAGUCCCAAUCAGGAAAGUCGUGGUAGUGGGGUACCAAGUCCUGCUGAGUCCACCAAAUGCACUAUUUCACCUUCAUACCCUUCUGGUGCCAGCAGGAGCCCACCACAACUAUGUGAUGACACUGGGGCUCUAUCUCCUGCAUCACCAGCUGAGCAGGAUUCAAAGCCUCUUAAGAAGCGGCGAGGACGACGGCCUCGCUGGACGAAGGCAGUGAGUCGCACCCACAAGACUUCACAUGAGGCUGCUUCUAACCAUCAGAAACCAAUGCCAUCAGGGCUUUCCUCCUCAUCCCCUACUCGGCAACCUGUGGAAUGGACUCCUUCUGGUAAUCGGAUGUCCCCUGUUGCUUCAGAAUUUUUUGAUUCUUCACCCAAGAAGAGGGGACGGCCCAAGUCCAAAAUGCCUCGGUUAGAUGCACCAGCCCGUGGCCGAACCCCAAACAAACUGGUACCCUCAAAAGUCUUCUCUAGUCUGCUCAAAUCUAAAGAAGAGCAGGAUCCCCCUAUUUUGCACCCUGAAGUGGACUUUAAUCCACCUAAACCCAUGCAAAGAAAGCGUGGACGUCCCAAGCGCUCACCGCCAACACUUCCACAAGAAACCCAGCCCCCAACACUUGCUCCUGAGUCGGGGGGUGCUUCAGUAGGUGAAAAACCUUUUCGUAAUAAGGGCAAUGGGCAGCUCAUUAUGAAGACAAUUAUAGGCAAAAUUAAUAAGAUGAAGACAGUAAAACGGAAAAGGCUCCUCAGCCAAAUACUGCUUGGGCCGAAACCAGGGACUGAGCAGGAAAGGUCCAGAAGCAGUGGAGUGCCAGGGGCUGCGGCUGCUACAAAACCACAGUCUCUAUCAUCACUUGCUGCUACAUUUGGGGGCAAAUUAGGACCCCAGAUCAACGUUAGCAAAAAGGGGACAAUAUAUAUGGGUAAAAGGAGGGGUCGUAAGCCAAAAACAUCAGCUAAUCCCUCCCCAGGUGCCCCCACACCCCCUCCUGAACCUUUCUUGUCACCAAACACUUCGUCCCCACACCAUCAUCACCAGUCACAGGCCUUACAAAACCAGCAACACCACUUGCCUCCAUCUGAGGUGUUCCCUUCGCCUUCACUCUCGCAGUCAAGUGGAGGCCAGAGUCCCAUUAGUGAUGCCAGCUUUGUUGAGCCUGGCUCAGUGCAUUUCUCAUCCCACCCACACUGCAGCCAUUCCCAUCAGGGCCACCACUCAUUUUCCUUUCCUCCACCUACUUUUUCAGCCCCCUCUGCUCGCACUGUAGCAGGCUCCUCAUCAUCCACAGCAAACCCAUCUCAAAAGAAAUCAUCUUGCCGGGGUUACCACCAUCACCACCACCACUACCGGCAGCACUACCAUUAUCGAAAAAUUUCUCCUCCAAGGCCACUAUUGCACACGUCUCCUGCUCCACUCAGUGAGCUGAAGGAGGCCACACCUUCCCCAGUCAGUGAAUCACACAGCGAAGAGACAGUACCCAGUGACAGUGGCAUUGGGACAGACAACAACAGCACCUCAGACCGUGGGGAAAAGGCUGGUAGUGCAAGUGGCUUAGCUGGUGUAGGGGUCUCACAGGGUAUGGCAAGUGGACUCUUAAUGCCUGGUGUCAUAGGUCCAGCCAUAGGAGCUGGAAUGGGGCUUUCUUCGAGAGGUAGAAGGAGGCACUCAUCUUCAGUUCUCUUGGAACGUCCCUCACCUACACCCUCCCCACUUGGAGCGAGGGCAUCACCUGAUACAAGAAGACCGCACCCAGCUGCCCCAUCUCCUGCUUUGGUUGGACAUAAAGAGAAGCACAAGCAUAAGUGCAAACGCCGUGGACAUGGCUGUCCUAGCUAUGACAAACUAAAAAGGCAAAAGCGAAAACGCAAGAAGAAGUACCUGCAGCUGCGGUCACGUCGACAAGACCCAGACUUCUUGGCUGAUUUGGAUGAGAUCUGUGUGCAGCUCAGCGAUAUACGAAUUGGUCAUCGCACACCAACACUUCGUUUGGGUAGCAGUUUGGGUCUGGGUGCUGGGGCAGCAGGCCCGGGCCGUGGGUCUGCCUUGGGAAGUGCCAGAGCCAGCAGCAGCCUUGGAGGUGGAACCAAUCCACCACCCCAUCACUAUAUACACCGAGAUCUCUUGCCCACCAUCUUCAGGAUAAAUUUUAGCGGAUAUUAUUCACCCCACCCAGCCUACCCAUGUGAUUCACUUCAUUAUGUCCGUAAGCCAGAUCUUAAAAAGAAAAGAGGGCGACCACCUAAGCUCAGAGAAUCUAUAUCAGAAGUACCUUUUGUACCUGGGUUAGGCUUUCCCCUCUCCAGUGGAGGUUUCUAUCACCCCUCUUAUGGUGUUCCAUAUUCUUCUACCCCACUGGGACUUGGCUACUAUCGUGGUUAUACCCCAGCAAGUGCCCUGUACCCCCACCCUCAUCACCAGGCUCCUCACUCUGGCCCAUCCCACCAUGUUCAUUCUCCUUCUUUUCCUCCACCUCCGCCCCCUUCUUAUGUCCAUCAUCAUCACCCCUCCCACUUGCUUCUUAACUCUUCCAAAUUUCACAAGAAGAAACAUAAGCUGCUUAGGCAGGAGUAUCUAGGUGGUGGUCGUUCAUCAGUACUAUAUCCUGCAAUGUCGUCCGAGCUGUCAUUUGGCUGGCACCACAAACACAAGCAUAGGCACAAGCACCGUGAUCGCGGUGGAGAAGAGGAGGGUGAUGAUGUUGGUGAAGUUGUAGGUAACAUUGGAGGCAGAAGUGGAGGAGGUGAGGGGUUGGGGGUCGGAAGAGGGGAGCGAGGGAGUGUAGAGUCCCUGCAGCGUUGCCGGUUCAGGCGAGAUGGUUCUGGUGACUCCAGUGCUAACAAACUGGCAGCUUCUGCCAACUCCCCUUCCUCUUCCUCCUCGUCUUCUGCAGAACGGUACAAGCGAAAAGAAGCUUCUAUGUCUUGUCUUGGACCUUCGCGACUGUCUUUGGGCAGCGUGAGCCAGGGACAUCAUCCUGUUGACUCCUGGUUCAGGAUGGGAAGUUCUGAUACUGAUUACUCCAAACUCUCUAGAAACCAGUCCCUUUCUGGGUCUGGUGCAUUCUCUGAAGGACAUGUGCAAAAUACAGUGGAGUGCUCGGAGAGUGAUGAAGAAGAUCCUGCUUCCCCCAUUGAGGAGGCAGAGACCAGCCACCACACCAACUUGUUCACAUCUGCACUAUCUCGAACCUCCCUCAAAGGGAGUCGUAGCAAAAAAGGUAGAACAUCAGAGAGCACCAGUGUGUCACGGUUGGAUCAGACAGUGAGAAGAGAUCGUUCCAAAUCUGCAGAGAGAAGAGAGAUGGGAAAUGUGUCCGGCACGCAGAACCGAGUUGGCCAAUCCAUUGUUCCAGAGGUUUCUGAGGGUCCCCAUCAUCGGCACCACCAUCACCACCACCCUCCUCUGUCCCUCUCACACUCUGCCUCUUGCCUUUCUCACUGCACUCUUGAUCACCGCCAGGCUAGUCCCUCCACAUACUCCUCCCAGCCUGCAUGCUGCCGUGACUCCCCCCCUUCACAUCACUCCCAUCGGCCCCCUCCCAAAAAUAACCUGCACCAUGUCAACAAGAUCCUCCGUGCAAAGAAGCUCCAGAGGCAAGCACGCACAGGAAACAACAUGGUGAAAAAACGAGGUCCAGGCCGUCCCCGCAAGCACCCGCUGCCCUCGCCUCCCCCGUCGCCCCCACCACAGACAUCUGAACAGGAGAACCAUCCUUUACCUGAAAGGCACAGAGGAAGUGUUCUGUGGGAGGAAGACACCGUGGUUGACGUCAUUGAGUCUGUAAUACAGAGUCAGCGCAGAAAGGGACGCAAGAGAAAACGCUGGGAAAGGGAGACAGAAGGAGUUGAUGAGGAAGACAAGGAACCAGAGGAGGAAAGAGAGGUGGAGGAAGAAGAAGAACGACCAGCUGCUAGAGAGGAGGAUGUGAUGGCGAGAGCAAGAAUAGAAGGAGGGAGGGGAUGGUUGACGCCGGAGGACAUGCAAUGUUUUCGCAGUGCACUGGAGGGAAAACCUGAUGGCCAGUCAUCCCCUGAGCGCACAGGCCCUACUUCCCUGGAACAAGCCCCAAACCCAUCUGUGACCAGUCAACGGGAGAAGAGAGUUGCUAGACCACCCAAAAAGAAGUUUCAAAAGGCGGGGCUUUACUCUGAUGUGUACAAGACUGACGAUCCUCGCAGUCAGCUGCUACAGCUGAAGAAGGAGAAGUUAGAAUACACUCCAGGUGAACUUGAGUAUGGCCUUUUUCCUGCCCCCAUUAAUGUUGGGAAAUAUUUGAGACAGAAACACAUUGAUUUCCAGCUGCCUUAUGACAUCCUGUGGCUUUGGAAACAUGAUCAGCUCUACAAGAGACCUGAUGUGCCUCUCUACAAGAAGAUCAGAUCCAAUGUCUAUGUGGAUGUGAAGCCUCUUUCUGGCUAUGAAGCCACUACCUGUAACUGCAGGGCACCUGAAGAACACUGUGAGAACGGCUGUCAGGAUGACUGUCUAAACAGGAUGAUCUUCGCUGAGUGUUCUCCAAGUACAUGUCCAUGUGGCGAUCAGUGUGAUAACCAGCGUAUCCAGAGGCAUGAGUGGGUGCAGUCCCUCGAACGCUUCCGGGCUGAAGGGAAGGGCUGGGGGAUCCGCACCAAGCAGUCCCUACGUGCCGGCCAAUUCAUCAUCGAGUAUUUGGGAGAAGUGGUCAGCGAACAGGGGUUCAGGAGUCGCAUGAUGGAGCAGUACUUCUCCAACAGUGGCCACUACUGUCUGAAUCUGGACAGCGGCAUGUUCAUCGACAGCUACCACAUGGGCAACGAGGCUCGCUUUAUCAACCACAGCUGCGAGCCCAACUGUGAAAUGCAGAAAUGGUCGGUGAAUGGAGUGUACCGUAUUGGUCUGUUUGCUUUGAAAGACAUCAACAGCGGAACAGAACUGACAUAUGACUACAACUUCCACUCCUUCAACACAGAAGAACAGCAAGUCUGCAAGUGUGGCUCAGAGGGUUGCCGUGGCAUCAUUGGCGGCAAGAGCCAGCGAAUCAAUGGGCUGCCUGGAAAGGGGGGCGGAGCCCGGAGGCUGGGGAGACUGAAAGAGAAACGCAAGUCCAAACACUCACUGAAGAAACGGGAGGAAGAAUCCAGUGACAGCAGCAAGUUUUACCAGCACCUUUUAAUGAAGCCUAUGUCAAACAGAGAGAGAAACUUUGUGCUGAAACAUCGAGUGUUCCUGCUGCGGAAUUGGGAGAAGAUGCGGGAGAAACAGGAACUUCUGAAGCGAGAGGGAGAGCGAGAGAGGGACAACAGUGGUCUUUCUCUUUACACCCGCUGGGGAGGAGUCAUCCGCGAUGACGGCAACAUCAAGUCAGAUGUAUUUCUGACUCAGUUCUCAGCGCUGCAGACGUCACGCUCUGUGCGCACACGCAGACUUGCGGCAGCCGAGGAGAACAUGGAAGUUACACGCACUGCACGCCUGGCACACAUCUUCAAGGAGAUUUGUGACAUGAUCACAAGCUACAAGGAUUCAUCUGGUCAGACUCUCGCUGCUCCGCUGCUUAACUUGCCUUCGAGGAAGAGGAAUGUACAGUACUAUGAGAAGGUCACCGAUCCGCUAGAUCUCAGUACCAUAGAGAAGCAGAUCCUCACUGGACACUACAAAACUGUCGAGGCAUUUGAUGCAGACAUGCUCAAAGUGUUUCGCAAUGCUGAGAAAUAUUAUGGCCGUAAGUCUGCUGUAGGUCGUGAUGUGUGCCGGCUGAGGAAGGCGUACUACGGUGCGCGUCAUGAGGCUGCUGUCCAGAUUGAUGAAAUUGUGGGCGAGACGGCCAGUGAGGCCGACAGCUCUGAUUCGCUGGAGAGAGACCACGCCCACCAUCACCAUGACGGAGGAGGCAGCCAUGACAAAGACGAUGAUGUGAUUCGCUGCAUCUGUGGCAUGUACAAGGAUGAGGGGCUCAUGAUCCAGUGUGAGAAGUGCAUGGUGUGGCAGCACUGUGAUUGUAUGCGUUUGGAGGCGGAUGUGGAGCAUUAUCUCUGUGAGCUGUGUGACCCUCGUCCAGUGGACAGGGAGGUCCCAAUGGUGCCCCAACCCAGCUAUGCCCAGUCAGGAUCCAUCUAUUAUAUAUGCCUGCUUCGUGAUGACUUACUAUUGCAUCAGGGUGACUGUGUGUACCUCAUGAGAGACAGCAGACGCACAACAGAAGGUCAGCCAGUGCGUCAGUCAUACCGCCUCCUGUCUCAUAUCAACAGAGACAAACUGGACAUCUUCCGUAUCGAGAAACUCUGGAAAAAUGAAAAAGGUGAGAGGUUUGCCUUUGGUCAUCACUACUUCCGUCCCCACGAGACGCACCACUCUCCUUCCCGUCGCUUCUAUCAUAACGAGUUGUUCCGAGUGCCUCUCUAUGAGAUCAUACCACUGGAGGCGGUGGUGGGAACGUGCUGUGUGUUGGACCUGUAUACUUACUGCAAGGGUCGUCCAAAAGGGGUAAAGGAACAGGACGUUUACAUCUGUGACUACCGGCUGGAUAAAUCGGCACACCUGUUCUACAAAAUCCACCGCAACCGGUACCCAGUGUGCACCAAGCCCUAUGCGUUCAACCACUUCCCCAAGAGACUGACGCCGAAGAGGGACUUCUCGCCUCACUAUGUGCCGGAUAACUACAAGAGGAAUGGCGGCCGCUCUGCCUGGAAGAGUGAGCGGCCCAAAGGUGCAUCAACGUGCGAUGAAGAGCCCUCCCCCAGCGCAUCAUGUGAUCGACUGUCUGCUGGCUUCUCGAGAGAUGGGGACGAGGACGGAGGGAGAGGAGCAGAGGGAGAGAUGGAGACCACGCAGGAGGACUCCAGCGCCCCUGUAUCCCAGCUAUCCACAUCACAGGAAAGGAGGACAGGUGGGGAGGAAGAAGACAUGGCCGAAGAAGAGGAGGGUGGAGAGAGGGUAGAGAGGAGAGAGACGGAUGAGGGCUCCCGAGAGAGGGGAGGAGGAGGGCGGGAUGCAUUGGACACCCCAUGCUUAUCCUCACUCUCCUCUUUACCUCUUCAUCCAUCAAUCCCGGGAAGAAGAGAAGCACAGAGAGAGCGACUGAACAAGAUUCUGCUCGACCUGCUGCACCGGGCGCCCAGCAAGAAUGCGAUAGAUGUGACGUAUCUUCUCGAGGAAGGCUCUGGUCGCCGCCUCCGCAGACGGACACUUGGAUUGAGUGAAUUUAUUUGCAGGAAGUAAUGCUGACAACACUCUGCCGAGCAGCCUGCAGAGCAGCAAGAGAAUAAUGAAAAUGGAGGAGCAGAGGUGGACUACACCUGGCAACAAGGGGGAAAGCAGCAGUGAAAGGCGACACGUUCAUAUUUAUAUCUUGCAGCUUCUUUUUCUAGAGCUACAAGAGAGACCAGCCAGAGCUUUGUGCACUAAGGACAUGCAAUUUGCUGCAAGUCGUCAACCUUGACACAUUUAAAAAGUAUAAGUGUCAGACAUAGGAAAGUUUAAACUGAAGAAAAAAGGCGACGCUUUGAAAUUAUAACCGAAUUAUUGCAGAUGAACUAUGACUUCACUGGUCAAAUGUGUCCUAUGACUAAGUGGUACUAUAUUUGGCCUUCGUUUCAGGUGCAAAUGGAAAAAUGGGAGUCCGGCGCCACCUUAUGGUCGACAAUGGAAAUGACUUGAGUACAGCCAAGAAAGAAAAUGAGGCAAAAAAAAAGAAUUAGAAGCAUCAUAGGAGGUGCAGUGUAGCGCGCACACACACUGCUCAUAGACUGAGAAAAAGAGAGAAAGUAGAGACCUGAGAAAGAACGUUGGCUAACUGCACUUUUAACAACAACAAGGACAUCGUUCGCUCCCGGAGAUGUACGGAUAAGACACACUAACACUCAUGCAGUAUUGAUCAAUGCUGUAUGAUAAAGCAAAACAUAAAUAUGUUAUCUUCUUUUUCUGUUUGUUUUUUGUUAUACUCUAAUUACAUUAGGAAUGGAGCACGAUGGGGGUAUCCAUAUUUGUGAGCUAGGGACUUCGGGACUGGGCUGGAAUGUUUCGCUUCUGUUAUUGUGGCCAUUGUGAUUGGUUAGAAUGGCUGCCAGCCCCCGCCCCUUUUUAAAAAGUAUUUAAUUCACCAGCUCAAAAAAACAACAAAAAACAAAAUCUAGAAGUGGAGGUGCGCUGGCUUUAUAGAAUGCCGUUAUAUUGAGCGUUUUUUUUUUGUUUAUGGUAGUGUGUGAGAUUCUUUACGGUGUUUGUGUGUGUGUGUGUGUGUGUGUGUGUGUGAGAGCCCAUUCUAAUAAUAUAAAUACGAAAGAGGAAACAACUAAGGGCUUGACAGCAGUUAAUAAACAGUUAAAUUCACAAGAACUUAUUGUAUCA